Molecule: non-coding RNA, 53 nt
Organism: Pseudomonas sp. 1 R 17
Lineage: Bacteria; Pseudomonadati; Pseudomonadota; Gammaproteobacteria; Pseudomonadales; Pseudomonadaceae
Source: Rfam
CUAAGGUGGCCCGGUCGCUGACAACUCAGUGAUCGGGUUUAGUAGCCCGAGGG